UAAAGAUGAGCCUAAUUCAUUAUAUCAAAACUGCAUAGCAGAUGGAAAGAAAAGCAAGAAAGAUGUAUUACCUGAACAAGUCAUUCUUGGCAUUCGGUAUAAACACCGAAGAAAUCACGUAAAAUUUGGUUCCACAGAUAUAAGACAGACUCUCCUGUCCUUUCUCGUGCUUGACCAACACCUCAUGUGGCUGUGAACGUAGCCUAGACAAUGUCCUCUCUGCGAGCAAUUAACAGGGGUGAUGAUCGGAGGCAGCUCUCUUGGCAUUGUAGGAACAAAUCGGUUCUGAAGCAACUGGUAUUUGCAUUAGUUAAUAUGCCAAAGAUUGGAGUGAAUGGUGCUACUUGUAAUGACCUUGAACUUGGCCCAGAAAGUCUUACAUUCUGCAAAAUGUGUCUCACCAUAGAUCAGUUGGUAGAGAUUGCAACAAGGAUAUCAGAUGUCCAAUGGUCGCUGCUCAUUACACAUGAACGUUUCUGUGAAUCCUGUGCAGAUAGUUUGAUGGACCGCGAUUUGGACAAUACCAAUCCUGUACAGAUAGUUUCCUUAACUCUUAACAAUAACCACCACC
Molecule: long non-coding RNA, 571 nt
Filed under: Musa acuminata (dwarf banana)
Lineage: Eukaryota; Viridiplantae; Streptophyta; Magnoliopsida; Zingiberales; Musaceae
Description: long non-coding RNA (MACU_LNC001457)
Source: RNAcentral